UACAGAGGUCUCAAGCGUUGUUCGGAUUCAUUGGGCGUAAAGGGUGCGUAGGCGGCGCAGUAAGUCGGGUGUGAAAUCUCGGAGCUUAACUCCGAAACUGCAUUCGAUACUGCCGUGCUUGAGGACUGGAGAGGAGACUGGAAUUUACGGUGUAGCGGUGAAAUGCGUAGAUAUCGUAAGGAAGACCAGUGGCGAAGGCGGGUCUCUGGGCAGUUCCUGACACUGAGGCACGAAGGCCAGGGGAGCAAACGGG
This 253-nucleotide ribosomal RNA is filed under the name uncultured bacterium. RNAcentral describes it as "partial 16S ribosomal RNA". It matches the Rfam family "Bacterial small subunit ribosomal RNA", at positions 524 to 776 of the family's 1533-position model. The record is from RNAcentral.